Molecule: long non-coding RNA, 338 nt
Filed under: Mytilus galloprovincialis (Mediterranean mussel)
Lineage: Eukaryota; Metazoa; Mollusca; Bivalvia; Mytilida; Mytilidae
Source: RNAcentral
GUGUUAUCAACCUCUACUUGAAUUAUAAUAUCUAACAUAUGUUAAGUUAUUCAAACAAACGUAGAAACUAAAUCUUAUAAUUACCCAUUGAGGUAUGCGUUGUUCUAUUUACAUUUUUUUUUUAUGUUUAUCAAUACUUUAAUGGAAUGAUGUCAAUAUAACAUGUUAUGCUAGUAACUUGGUGAAAUAAUAACCAUCUCUAAAAUAUGUUCAAAUGCUUAACAGCACAUGUACACUGCUUUGCUUACUUCAGUGAUUAAUGUUAAUGUGCUAUAUUGCCUUUCUAUAUGUUUAUAUGAGCUGUUAGUUUUCGAUAAAAUGCUUUUAUUUCCAAUUAA